This 559-nucleotide ribosomal RNA is filed under the name uncultured bacterium. RNAcentral's name for it is "partial 16S ribosomal RNA". It matches the Rfam family "Bacterial small subunit ribosomal RNA", at positions 355 to 900 of the family's 1533-position model. The record is from RNAcentral.
UGGGGAAUAUUGCACAAUGGGCGCAAGCCUGAUGCAGCCAUGCCGCGUGUAUGAAGAAGGCCUUCGGGUUGUAAAGUACUUUCAGCGGGGAGGAAGGGAGUAAAGUUAAUACCUUUGCUCAUUGACGUUACCCGCAGAAGAAGCACCGGCUAACUCCGUGCCAGCAGCCGCGGUAAUACGGAGGGNUGCAAGCGUUAAUCGGAAUUACUGGGCGUAAAGCGCACGCAGGCGGUUUGUUAAGUCAGAUGUGAAAUCCCCGGGCUCAACCUGGGAACUGCAUCUGAUACUGGCAAGCUUGAGUCUCGUAGAGGGGGGUAGAAUUCCAGGUGNAGCGGUGAAAUGCGUAGAGAUCUGGAGGAAUACCGGUGGCGAAGGCGGCCCCCUGGACGAAGACUGACGCUCAGGUGCCGAAAGCGUGGGGAGCAAAACAGGGAUUAGAUACCCUGGUAAGUCCACGCCGUAAAACGAUGUCGACUUGGAGGUUGUGCCCUUGAGGCGUGGCUUCCGGAGCUAACGCGUUAAGUCGACCGCCUGGGGAGUACGGCCGCAAGGUUAAAAC